Molecule: non-coding RNA, 958 nt
Organism: Microcebus murinus (gray mouse lemur)
Lineage: Eukaryota; Metazoa; Chordata; Mammalia; Primates; Cheirogaleidae
Source: RefSeq, a predicted model, not a curated record
GCCGCAGCCAUGAUUAUGCUCAGGCUUCAGAAGAGGCUUGCCUCUAGCGUCCUCCGCCGUGGCAUUUAGAAGAAGGUCUGCUUGGACCCCAGUGAGACUAACGAAACUGCCAACGCCAGCUCGCGUCAGCCGAGCCGGAAGCUGAUCAAAGACGGGCGCAUCAUGCGCAAGCCCGUGACUGUCCAUUCUCCAGCUCGGUGCCGGAAACGCACCGCGGCUCGCCGGAAGGGCGGGCAGAGGGGCACAGGUGAGCGAGAGGGUACAUACACAGCCAAGGCUCGAAGGCCUGAGAAGGUGACCCAGGUGAGGAGGAGGAGGAUUCUGCGCCGGCUCCUGAGGAGAUACCGUGAGUCUAAGAAGACUGACCGCCACAUGCGUCACGGCCUGUACCUGAAGGUGUAAGGGGAACGUGUUCAAAAACAAGCGGGUUCUCACGGAACACAUCCACGGGCCGAAGGCAGACAAGGCCCGCGCAAGAAGCUCCUGGCUGACCAGGCUGAGGCCUGCAGGUCUAAGACCAAGGAAGCACGCAAGUGCCGUGAAGAGCGCCUCCAGGCCAAGGAGCAGGAGAUCAUCAAGACUCUGUCCAAAGAGGAAGAGACGAAGAAGUAAAACUCCUCUCUCUUGUCUGUACAUAGUGGCCUGGGUCAUAACAUGUGAACUAUUUGAAUAAAACAAGCCUUUGUCUGCUUAAAAAUAAAUAAAUAAAUAAAUAAAUAAACAGACACAUAAUAUAUGUCAAGUAAUGAUAAGUGCUCUGUGGAAAAGUAAGACUGAGGAAGAUGACAGAGAAUAAGAAUACGCAUGGUGGUGGUGGUGGGGUUCCUAUUUCAGAAAGGACAGACAGGCAUGGAUGGGAUGACACUUUCCUAGAGACUGGAAUAAAGUGAGAGAGCAAGCUGUGCGGAUAUCUGCGGAGGAGCACCCCAGAGGAGGAGGGAACAGUCAGCGCCAAGUC